Molecule: ribosomal RNA, 515 nt
Filed under: Curvularia heteropogonis
Lineage: Eukaryota; Fungi; Ascomycota; Dothideomycetes; Pleosporales; Pleosporaceae
Description: eukaryotic LSU rRNA
Rfam family: 5.8S ribosomal RNA (bases 146-299)
Source: RNAcentral
CCGUUCGCGGCUGGACUAUUUUAUUACCCUUGUCUUUUGCGCACUUGUUGUUUCCUGGGCGAGUUCGCUCGCCACCAGGACCACAAUAUAAACCUUUUUUAUGCAGUUGCAAUCAGCGUCAGUAUAACAAAUGUAAAUCAUUUACAACUUUCAACAACGGAUCUCUUGGUUCUGGCAUCGAUGAAGAACGCAGCGAAAUGCGAUACGUAGUGUGAAUUGCAGAAUUCAGUGAAUCAUCGAAUCUUUGAACGCACAUUGCGCCCUUUGGUAUUCCAAAGGGCAUGCCUGUUCGAGCGUCAUUUGUACCCUCAAGCUUUGCUUGGUGUUGGGCGUUUUUGUCUCUGGUUUGCCCAAAGACUCGCCUUAAAACGAUUGGCAGCCGGCCUACUGGUUUCGCAGCGCAGCACAUUUUUGCGCUUGCAAUCAGCAAAAGAGGACGGCAAUCCAUCAAGACUCCUUCUCACGUUUGACCUCGGAUCAGGUAGGGAUACCCGCUGAACUUAAGCAUAUCAAUA